UGGACUUUUGGUGGAGGAACCAGACUGGAUGUUGGAAGAAGUGAUGCACGUCCCACCCUGACGGUGCUGCCCCCCUCCCGUGAGGAGCUGCAGCAGGGUACCACGGCCACGCUCAUGUGCCUGGCCAACAAGGGCUUCCCCUCAGGCUGGAGUCUGGCCUGGAAGGUGGACGGCAGCAGCAUCAGCUGCGGGGAGGAAAGCAGGAGCCCUGCGGUGCUGGAGAGGGACGCUCUCUACAGCUGGAGCAGCACCCUGAGGAUCACAGCAAACCAGUGGAGGAAGCUGGGCUCUGUGACCUGUGAGGCCACCCAGGGCUCCCAGACUCCAGUCACAGAGACUCUGAGGAGAGACCAGUGUACCCAGUUCUGAUCUGACUCACUGGGACUCUGCUGCUGGUUUUACACUCAUGGUGAUUUUUCUUCUCAGUCUGUGAACAAAAAUGUCUUUCUGUCUCUGUCUUUGAUUUAAUGAUUCAUCACAAGCUUUUCUUCCCUCUUGUAUGUUUGAUGUUUAAAAUGGCAAAAAUAAUAAAAUUUGAAUUCCA
Molecule: non-coding RNA, 544 nt
Organism: Cheilinus undulatus (humphead wrasse)
Lineage: Eukaryota; Metazoa; Chordata; Actinopteri; Labriformes; Labridae
Source: the annotation of a RefSeq genome assembly